This 468-nucleotide ribosomal RNA is filed under the name uncultured bacterium. RNAcentral describes it as "partial 16S ribosomal RNA". It matches the Rfam family "Bacterial small subunit ribosomal RNA", at positions 28 to 507 of the family's 1533-position model. The record is from RNAcentral.
GACGAACGCUGGCGGCGUGCUUAACACAUGCAAGUCGAACGGAAAGGCCCUGCUUUUGUGGGGUGCUCGAGUGGCGAACGGGUGAGUAACACGUGAGUAACCUGCCCUUGACUUUGGGAUAACUUCAGGAAACUGGGGCUAAUACCGGAUAGGAGCUCCUGCUGCAUGGUGGGGGUUGGAAAGUUUCGGCGGUUGGGGAUGGACUCGCGGCUUAUCAGCUUGUUGGUGGGGUAGUGGCUUACCAAGGCUUUGACGGGUAGCCGGCCUGAGAGGGUGACCGGCCACAUUGGGACUGGGAUACGGGCCGAAACCCCACGGGGGGGAGGAGGGGGGAAUAUUGCAAAAUGGGCGGAAGCCCUAAUGAGGCACGCCGCGGGGGGGAAGGCGGGCUUUGGGGUGGAAACCGCUUUCGCCUGUGACGAAGGGUGAGGGGCGGUAAUGGGUAAAGAAGGAACGGCUAACUACGGG